RNAcentral lists this ribosomal RNA (373 nucleotides) under uncultured bacterium. Its description in RNAcentral is "bacterial SSU rRNA". It matches the Rfam family "Bacterial small subunit ribosomal RNA", at positions 524 to 898 of the family's 1533-position model. The record is from RNAcentral.
UACGUAUGGGGCGAGCGUUGUUCGGAAUUAUUGGGCGUAAAGGGCGUCUAGGCGGGGGAUUAAGUUAGAUGUGAAAGCCAUGGGCUCAACCCAUGAACUGCAUCUAAGACUGGUUCUCUUGAGUUCGGGAGAGGAGAGCGGAAUUCCAGGUGUAGCGGUGAAAUGCGUAGAUAUCUGGAAGAACACCAGUGGCGAAGGCGGCUCUCUGGCCUAGAACUGACGCUGAAGCGCGAAAGCGUGGGGAGCGAACAGGAUUAGAUACCCUGGUAGUCCACGCUGUAAACGUUGUAUACUAGGUGUUAGCGGCUUGUCCGCUAGUGCCGAAGCAAACGCAUUAAGUAUACCGCCUGGGGAGUACGCCCGCAAGGGUGAA